GCAGAGUAUUGGAGUGUUUGGAUAGCAUUACUAUUAUCUCAAAUAAUAUUUCGUUUCCCAAUCAGACUAGCAUUCAUUUGAUUGUAAGGUGAGGCAUUUGAAAUUAACUGCUGAUGUAUUAGUAUUAAAUUGUUCUUUCCCUUUCUCCCUUCUCCUUUGCCUCUUUAAUUCUACUCCAACAUGAUCAUUUUACGAGAAAUCCUCUGUGGCCUGCACAUCCAUCCGUCCCACU
This 232-nucleotide long non-coding RNA is filed under the name Coffea arabica (coffee). Its description in RNAcentral is "long non-coding RNA (CARA_LNC000412)". Lineage: Eukaryota; Viridiplantae; Streptophyta; Magnoliopsida; Gentianales; Rubiaceae. The record is from RNAcentral.